AUUCUGGUCAGAAUUUUGAUUCAUCUGAGGGACUCGAUCAAUCUGAGGUGGUAAGCACUUCUAAUUCUAUGAGAAGGCCUGCUUCUGUAGAGCCAUUGGAGCACAAAUCUGACAUUCUUAACAGUGAUUUUGCCAGCCACUGGCAAAACUUGCAAUAUGGACGGUUUUGCCAAAACUCACGGGAUCCCACACCUUUGGUUUAUCCUUCACCUCUGAUGAUGCCACCUGUAUAUUUACAAGGUCGUAUUCCAUGGGAUGUGCCCGGGAGACCUCUUUCAACCAACAUGAAUCUUUUCACGCAGCUUAUGAGUUAUGGGCCACGUCUUGUUCCUGUUGCUGCUCUUCAGUCUGUUUCUAAUAGACCUGCUGGUGUUUACCAGCAUUAUGUUGAUGAAAUGCCAAGAUUUCGUAGUGGGACUGGGACCUACCUGCCAAAUCCUAAGGUAUCCGGUCGGGACCGUCAUUCUACAAAUAAUAGAAAGGGAAAUUACAGUUAUGAUAGAAGUGACCACCAUGGUGAGAGGGAAGGGAACUGGAAUGUUAAUUCAAAGCCUCGAGCUUCUGGACGUAGCCACACG
This 578-nucleotide unclassified non-coding RNA is filed under the name Hevea brasiliensis (rubber tree). Lineage: Eukaryota; Viridiplantae; Streptophyta; Magnoliopsida; Malpighiales; Euphorbiaceae. The record is from RNAcentral.